AUUGAACGCUGGCGGCAGGCCUAACACAUGCAAGUCGAACGGUAACAGAAAGCAGCUUGCUGCUUUGCUGACGAGUGGCGGACGGGUGAGUAAUGUCUGGGAAACUGCCUGAUGGAGGGGGAUAACUACUGGAAACGGUAGCUAAUACCGCAUAACGUCGCAAGACCAAAGAGGGGGACCUUCGGGCCUCUUGCCAUCGGAUGUGCCCAGAUGGGAUUAGCUAGUAGGUGGGGUAAAGGCUCACCUAGGCGACGAUCCCUAGCUGGUCUGAGAGGAUGACCAGCCACACUGGAACUGAGACACGGUCCAGACUCCUACGGGAGGCAGCAGUGGGGUAUAUUGCACAAUGGGCGCAAGCCUGAUGCAGCCAUGCCGCGUGUAUGAAGAAGGCCUUCGGGUUGUAAAGUACUUUCAGCGGGGAGGAAGGGAGUAAAGUUAAUACCUUUGCUCAUUGACGUUACCCGCAGAAGAAGCACCGGCUAACUCCGUG
This 490-nucleotide ribosomal RNA is filed under the name uncultured bacterium. RNAcentral describes it as "partial 16S ribosomal RNA". It matches the Rfam family "Bacterial small subunit ribosomal RNA", at positions 30 to 507 of the family's 1533-position model. The record is from RNAcentral.